Molecule: ribosomal RNA, 492 nt
Filed under: uncultured bacterium
Lineage: Bacteria
Description: partial 16S ribosomal RNA
Rfam family: Bacterial small subunit ribosomal RNA
Source: RNAcentral
AGUGAACGCUGGCGGUAGGCCUAACACAUGCAAGUCGAACGGCAGCACAGUAAGAGCUUGCUCUUACGGGUGGCGAGUGGCGGACGGGUGAGGAAUACAUCGGAAUCUACUUUUUCGUGGGGGAUAACGUAGGGAAACUUACGCUAAUACCGCAUACGACCUACGGAUGAAAGCAGGGGAUCUUCGGACCUUGCGCGAUUGAAUGAGCCGAUGUCGGAUUAGCUAGUUGGCGGGGUAAAGGCCCACCAAGGCGACGAUCCGUAGCUGGUCUGAGAGGAUGAUCAGCCACACUGGAACUGAGACACGGUCCAGACUCCUACGGGAGGCAGCAGUGGGGAAUAUUGGACAAUGGGCGCAGGCCUGAUCCAGCCAUACCGCGUGGGUGAAGAAGGCCUUCGGGUUGUAAAGCCCUUUUGUUGGGAAAGAAAAGCAGCAGGUUAAUACCCCGCUGUUCUGACGGUACCCAAAGAAUAAGCACCGGCUAACUUCGUG